This 245-nucleotide ribosomal RNA is filed under the name uncultured bacterium. RNAcentral's name for it is "partial 16S ribosomal RNA". It matches the Rfam family "Bacterial small subunit ribosomal RNA", at positions 28 to 271 of the family's 1533-position model. The record is from RNAcentral.
GACGAACGCUGGCGGCGUGCUUAACACAUGCAAGUCGAACGGUGAAAGAGGAGCUUGCUCCUCUGGAUCAGUGGCGAACGGGUGAGUAACACGUGAGUAACCUGCCCUUGACUCUGGGAUAACCUCGGGAAACCGAAGCUAAUACCGGAUACGACCCUCGGAGGCAUCUCCAGGGGGUGGAAAGAAUUUUGGUCAAGGAUGGACUCGCGGCCUAUCAGGUAGUUGGUGAGGUAACGGCUCACCAA